CUACUGGGGUAUCUAAUCCUGUUUGCUCCCCACGCUUUCGAGCCUCAACGUCAGUUACUGUCCAGUAAGCCGCCUUCGCCACUGGUGUUCCUCCUAAUAUCUACGCAUUUCACCGCUACACUAGGAAUUCCGCUUACCUCUCCAGCACUCCAGUCAAACAGUUUCAAAAGCAGUCCCGGGGUUGAGCCCCAGCCUUUCACUUCUGACUUGCUUGACCGUCUACGCUCCCUUUACACCCAGUAAAUCCGGAUAACGCUUGCCCCCUACGUAUUACCGCGGCUGCUGGCAC
RNAcentral lists this ribosomal RNA (289 nucleotides) under uncultured Lachnospiraceae bacterium. RNAcentral's name for it is "partial 16S ribosomal RNA". The record is from RNAcentral. Lineage: Bacteria; Bacillati; Bacillota; Clostridia; Lachnospirales; Lachnospiraceae.